GUGGCCCUGGGUGGAUAUGCUCGUUGGAUCCCUGCGUGCGGGAUGCCUGGCCCCAGAGUCCCAAACAAUGCCGGGUCCCGAUUUCUGUUAAUGCUGCAAAUAUGUAUUGGGCAUCCCCAAGGGAAAUGGUGUCUGACCCUACUGAAAAAUUUGCAAGAGUAACUGCCUGCGGACUGUACCUUCUGGCCUUUCCCCUUCCCUCGUUCCUUCACGGGCUUUACCUCCCACUCUCCCUCUUCCCAAUCCAAAUUUACCGCGACCAAUUCCAGGCCUUUGCAUUGGUCUGGAUGACAGAGAAGUGAUCUGGGCCAACGUGUCAGAAGAGGGCCGAACUCUUCCUCCCAGGACUGGUUCUUCUCUUCUAAAGACCAAGAUCUCCGAAGCUACUUACUGCCCUGUGUAGAGGCAGGCCUACCACAGAAUCACCCCAGACUGGUACCCUGUGGUCCUAUUGCACUUAGUAAAAUAAAGGGCAUUGUCGGCCCAGGUAUUCCUGCUGCCCCCAUGCGCUCCACACCCCUUCAACAACCACAAGCUUUAUUUGAAGGGAACCUCCAGAUUCACUCAGCGAAGCCAACACGGUAACCGGAUUUGCACUCCUAUCUCGGUUGUCUCCCCACGCCUAAUUUACCAAGCAGGCUUAGGGCCUACAGUGUAACC
Molecule: long non-coding RNA, 660 nt
Organism: Leopardus geoffroyi (Geoffroy's cat)
Lineage: Eukaryota; Metazoa; Chordata; Mammalia; Carnivora; Felidae
Exons: 3
Source: RefSeq, a predicted model, not a curated record